This 254-nucleotide ribosomal RNA is filed under the name uncultured bacterium. Its description in RNAcentral is "partial 16S ribosomal RNA". It matches the Rfam family "Bacterial small subunit ribosomal RNA", at positions 524 to 776 of the family's 1533-position model. The record is from RNAcentral.
GUCGAAGGUGGCUAGCGUUGUUCGGAAUCACUGGGCUUAAAGCGCGCGUAGGCGGCUCAUCAAGUGUCCGGUGAAAUCCCUCGGCUCAACCGAGGAAUGGCUGGGCAAACUGAUCGGGCUUGAGGCAGGCAGGGGCGAGUGGAACUCUUGGUGGAGCGGUGGAAUGCGUAGAUAUCAAGAGGAACGCCGGAGGUGAAGACGAUUCGCUGGGCCUGUCCUGACGCUGAGGUGCGAAAGCCAGGGGAGCAAACGGG